Hemicordylus capensis (graceful crag lizard) is the source of this 1166-nucleotide long non-coding RNA. RefSeq lists it as uncharacterized. The transcript has 2 exons. The record is from RefSeq and is a predicted model, not a curated record. NCBI's taxonomy places the organism in Eukaryota, Metazoa, Chordata, Lepidosauria, Squamata, Cordylidae.
UGGCGCAUAAUCUACAUACCCGGCCUGGCUCCUCCUCCUGGAUCGGCUCCCAUUCUCUUUCCCUUCCCAAAUCGCGCGCUGCUGGAAGGGCCGGCGAGCCAAUCGCAGCCUGUGAGGAGCUGGAGCUCUUCGCGUCGCCGGUUUCUGUACGCCGGCGACAUAAUCAUUGCACCCCCUUCUAGCAAGCAGAGAUACCUUCAGCGCUCACGCCGUUUAGAAAACUCAUAUCUUAAUUCCUCAGUGGUAAAGAAUACACAAAGAUAACUGGAUGUAAGCAACCUUAUAUUCUGGCUGAGGAGAAGCAGCUGGAAAGAUGAAAAGUAAUCUCCAAAAGUAGAAGGAUGGUGGAACCAGCAUGGUUUGUUGUAAUUAUUUGAUAUCACUGAGAACACGGACGGAGAAAUAAAUGAAAAGUGGAAACUUGAUUGUUUGUUGAUGGUUGUAACAUAACUUCCGGAUAACAGUGAUGUUUCAUCAGAACUUCUUCAGACCAUGAGUCUUUUUAAGUUUCUAUAAUAAAUUUUUCUAAAUAGCAAUACAUCAAUACAUGUGUUAAUCAUAAUAAAAAAACUCCACAAACCACAUCAGAAUGAGUGAAUAAAAGGGUAAACCAACCUGAACUGGCAGCUUCUCAUUUUUGUUGUGGGAAACUCUGGCUUUCUGUUGUAUUUAAAUGCUAUCUUAUCAAGGUACCUACAGCUGUCAAACAGGAUUAUGUAAUGACUUCAAUUAACUCAAAGUAGCCUAUAGUUUGAAUGACUCAACACCUCACAGCUAACUGUUUCAUAUAAUUUAAUGAUUUCUAAAAGUUUCAAUAGUGUUCCUUUUAUGCUUUUCUAACUGUUUCACAUAUUUUACUUCAAUAAACAGAGAAUUUUAGAGACAAUAGAGAAACUUCAUCUAGCCAGAGUUCCAAAAGGAGUUUUGUCAAUUAUAUAAAGAUAUUUCCCCUGAUCACCAAAAGGAUUCAUUGUAGUUUUCUUCAUUCCUAUCUACAAAAAGGGUCUCAAGAUCGAAUAUAAAUAUACUGAAAGAUUAUCAAGAGAUGUCCAAACAAGAUAAACCAACCUUAAAGGAUCUCUUGUUCACAAAAAGCUGGAAUAUUCCAGAUGGGAAUUUAGACCUGUCGGAUGAAGUGUAUGAAAUAAAUGUAUUAAAAAAGCCUC